This 1085-nucleotide ribosomal RNA is filed under the name Apiosporopsis carpinea. RNAcentral's name for it is "partial small subunit ribosomal RNA". It matches the Rfam family "Eukaryotic small subunit ribosomal RNA", at positions 18 to 1115 of the family's 1831-position model. The record is from RNAcentral. Lineage: Eukaryota; Fungi; Ascomycota; Sordariomycetes; Diaporthales.
UGAAAGUCAUAUGCUUGUCUCAAAGAUUAAGCCAUGCAAGUCUAAGUUUAAGCACAUAAACGGCGAAACUGCGAAUGGCUCAUUAAAUCAGUUAUCGUAUAUUUGAUAGUACCUACUACAUGGAUAACCGUGGUAAUUCUAGAGCUAAUACAUGCUUAAAAUCCCGACUUCGGAAGGGAUGUAUUUAUUAGAUUAAAAACCAAUGCCCUUCGGGGCUCACUGGUGAUUCAUAAUAACUUCUCGAAUCGCAUGGCCUUGUGCCGGCGAUGGUUCAUUCAAAUUUCUGCCCUAUCAACUUUCGACGGCUGGGUAUUGGCCAGCCGUGGUUACAACGGGUAACGGAGGGUUAGGGCUUGACCCCGGAGAAGGAGCCUGAGAAACGGCUACUACAUCCAAGGAAGGCAGCAGGCGCGCAAAUUACCCAAUCCCGAUACGGGGAGGUAGUGACAAUAAAUACUGAUACAGGGCUCUUUUGGGUCUUGUAAUUGGAAUGAGUACAAUUUAAAUCCCUUAACGAGGAACAAUUGGAGNNNNNNNNNNNNNNNNNNNNNNNNGGUNAUUUCAGCUCCAAUAGCGUAUAUUAAAGUUGUUGCAGUUAAAAAGCUCGUAGUUGAACCUUGGGCCUGGCUGGCCGGUCUGCCUCACCGCAUGCACUGGUCCGGCCGGGCCUUUCCCUCUGGGGAGCCGCAUGUCCUUCAUUGGAUGUGUCGGGGAACCAGGACUUUUACUGUGAAAAAAUUAGAGUGUUCAAAGCAGGCCUAUGCUCGAAUACAUUAGCAUGGAAUAAUAGAAUAGGACGUGUGGUUCUAUUUUGUUGGUUUCUAGGACCGCCGUAAUGAUUAAUAGGGACAGUCGGGGGCAUCAGUAUUCAAUCGUCAGAGGUGAAAUUCUUGGAUCGAUUGAAGACUAACUACUGCGAAAGCAUUUGCCAAGGAUGUUUUCAUUAAUCAGGAACGAAAGUUAGGGGAUCGAAAACGAUCAGAUACCGUUGUAGUCUUAACCAUAAACUAUGCCGACUAGGGAUCGGACGAUGUUAUUUCUUGACUCGUUCGGCACCUUACACGAAAGUAAAGUUUUUGGGUUCU